GACGAACGCUGGCGGCGUGCCUAAUACAUGCAAGUUGAGCGAUGAAGAUUGGUGCUUGCACCAAUUUGAAGAGCAGCGAACGGGUGAGUAACGCGUGGGGAAUCUGCCUUUGAGCGGGGGACAACAUUUGGAAACGAAUGCUAAUACCGCAUAAUAACUUUAAACAUAAGUUUUAAGUUUGAAAGAUGCAAUUGCAUCACUCAAAGAUGAUCCCGCGUUGUAUUAGCUAGUUGGUGAGGUAAAGGCUCACCAAGGCGAUGAUACAUAGCCGACCUGAGAGGGUGAUCGGCCACAUUGGGACUGAGACACGGCCCAAACUCCUACGGGAGGCAGCAGUAGGGAAUCUUCGGCAAUGGACGAAAGUCUGACCAAGCAACGCCGCGUGAGUGAAGAAGGUUUUCGGAUCGUAAAACUCUGUUGGUAGAGAAGAACGUUGGUGAGAGUGGAAAGCUCAUCAAGUGACGGUAACUACCCAGAAAGGGACGGCUAACUACGUG
RNAcentral lists this ribosomal RNA (497 nucleotides) under uncultured bacterium. RNAcentral's name for it is "partial 16S ribosomal RNA". It matches the Rfam family "Bacterial small subunit ribosomal RNA", at positions 28 to 507 of the family's 1533-position model. The record is from RNAcentral.